This 83-nucleotide transfer RNA is filed under the name Felis catus (domestic cat). It matches the Rfam family "tRNA". Rfam says of the family: Transfer RNA (tRNA) molecules are approximately 80 nucleotides in length. Their secondary structure includes four short double-helical elements and three loops (D, anti-codon, and T loops). Further hydrogen bonds mediate the characteristic L-shaped molecular structure. tRNAs have two regions of fundamental functional importance: the anti-codon, which is responsible for specific mRNA codon recognition, and the 3' end, to which the tRNAs corresponding amino acid is attached (by aminoacyl-tRNA synthetases). tRNAs cope with the degeneracy of the genetic code in two manners: having more than one tRNA (with a specific anti-codon) for a particular amino acid; and 'wobble' base-pairing, i.e. permitting non-standard base-pairing at the 3rd anti-codon position. Lineage: Eukaryota; Metazoa; Chordata; Mammalia; Carnivora; Felidae. RNAcentral also lists the same sequence under 2 other names. The record is from Rfam by way of RNAcentral.
GUCUGGGUGGCUUAGUUGGUUAAGCAUCUGACUUCAGCUCAGGUCAUGAUCUCAGUUCAUGGGUUUGAGUCCCAUGUCAGGCU